This 1537-nucleotide long non-coding RNA is filed under the name Marmota monax (woodchuck). The record is from RNAcentral. Lineage: Eukaryota; Metazoa; Chordata; Mammalia; Rodentia; Sciuridae.
GGAGAAAUAGAAGUUGAGCAGGCCACCAACAGGAACCACAAUAGUCUACAAAUGCCUGCAACAAAGGACUAGUCCUAAGAUGUUGAGGGCAACAUCUUAGUGCACCUCUUCACUUAGAAAUCAAGUCGUUUGUCAGGUGCCAAUGAAAAAAUUUUCAAUACCUUCAGACUGACAGUCUCCAGAAGUGAAUGCUGGCUCUCCACAGCUCACUAAAGGUCACCUAGCACGGCACAUGGCCAAGUGGAUGUUUUGGGAUUGGCUCAUUCCUCCCUCUGCUUUGAGGCCCCAAGGAUCUGGGGUUGCUCUCCUGUGUUGACGGAUCCUCCAAACGUCUAUACAAUGCUCACUCCACACUUGGCAAAGAGAAUCUCCUCUGGGAUAGAGCCACAUAGGCCUGAAGAGAGAUGACUCCCAGUCCUGUCCUUUCACUUCAAAUAAAUAAACACAAAAGUAAAACAAAAGACAGACAGACAAAAAGCAGACUCAAGGAACAGAAUUAGGAAAACGUACGCUUUCACAAAAACAAGAGAGAGUAAAAGGACACCAAGGGGAAAACCUACCUCUGUUCACCCGAGCUCUGAGGAAUCAGUAUUUUUAAAACUAUUUUUUUAAAAGGUAAAGAUUUGUUAUCUAUCCUCCUCUUCCUAACAGUCCUUUUUUUCCAGCAGUUUCUUUAUUCAUCGGAGGCAGGAGGAUGAACAAAGGCCCGCUCCUUCUCAAGAAACACCCCCCUCCUUCCUCAUCUCCACACCCCUGCCUUGACUUCAGGAAACGUGUUCAGAGAAAACAAUUCCAGUUACUGGAAGAUCUUAAGGCUUUCCUCUGUGGGUUAACAACAGCCUGGCCUCCAACCCCCAAGAAAAGAUAUUUACUAAGCAAUAACAACACCUUUUAUGUUAUCUCAAUAUUAGGCAAGUCACUUCAUCUGUCUUAAUUCGGAUUCCUUUAUCACACAGUGAUGAAGCUUAGAUAGAUUAGCAGUUUGAAAAGUGUGUGUUUCUAUGUAUUUAAAUGACAGAAGAUUGCUUUAAAUAACAUCAUCUUAUGUGGAGCUCACAUAAAAAAAAAAACAGGUAAAAGCAGAGGUGCUUUGAUUGAGGGAAGGGUGGGAGUGAUAAGGCUGGGUAAGAGGAGGAUGCUAUGGUUUGAAUAUCCUCUCCAGGACUCAUCAGCUGCCACUGUGAUGGUAUGAAGGGGUGGGACCUUUAAGAGGUGAUUAAGGGCCCUUGUGAAUGGAUUAAUGUCAUUAUCAGGAAAUGUGUUUGUGGAUGCAAGUUGAUAGAGGGGGUUGUUAAUAAAUUUGGCCCCCUCUGGCCCUCUCUUUCUGCCUCAUAUAUGCUCACUUUCCCUUUCACAUGUUAUGAUGCAGCAAGAAGACCCUCAUCUCACACAGCAAGAUGCAGCCCCUUGAUCUUGGACUUCCCAGCAUCCAGAACCUAAGGUAAAUAAACUUCUAUUGUUUAUGAUUUACCUCGCCUGGGGUAUUCUGUUAUAGCAGCAGCAACUGGACUAAGACAGAAGAGUUUCUAGACCCUGG